Long non-coding RNA from Neodiprion virginianus, 628 nucleotides. RefSeq lists it as uncharacterized. Lineage: Eukaryota; Metazoa; Arthropoda; Insecta; Hymenoptera; Diprionidae. The transcript is spliced from 3 exons. The record is from RefSeq and is a predicted model, not a curated record.
UAGAUGAUUGUUACAAGUGUGCCCGAAACGGACCGAGUUCAUCAAUGGGACUGGCAAUGAACGCCACCUAUGACAAAUUAGUAUUUUCGUCACGAUCCUUAGGCAUGUAACGUUGUGCAAUAUCGCGGGACAAGAAUUUCCCAUACCAUGAUGCACCUGCACACGUGCAACUGAUGGAACAGUAACCAGCACAUGGCCAACUUCUUACGGUAUAUGAAACAAACCCGUAGCGCAAGUCCCACCUGAACGCGAAUGACUUGGAAUACUUAGCGUUUCUUCACGUUCCAGUAACACCCAGUCGUCGUGUAACCGAUUCCAGAUCUAAGUUUUCUAUCGCAUAGAAACUAACUGAUCCAGGAAGUUUUCGUUUCUCCUCAACGAAGUUGGUAAUUCACUAAAGUCUGACGAGUACUCCAAAUGCUGGGAUUCCAAAGGAUCGGUCCACACCUCCGCAAUGUAAAUAUAAAUUUCUCUUUUUAUGGCAGCUGUAAGAAAUUGUUCACACCCGGUAUCCGAGUCCUCAACACUCCUGUAAAUUGAUUUCGUUGCGGAUUUGCGUUGCUGCGACGAACGCAUGUGGAUUGUGCGUGUAGACGAAUAUCGCUGACACACCUCGUAAAAAGCUGAA